AUUCGUUCAUGAAUCGGACAUCGCUAGCGGAAACGCGUGUGUGCUGUUCUGGAGUCUCACGCCUUCAAGUGACAUUGUGCUUGAAAAACAAGGAUGUCCUGGUCUGCUGUGGGUCUACAGCUGGUUGCAUGUCUCCUAAACAUCUCGGUAGCUCGGAGAAGAGACCUGGCGGAGACAGUGGCUAGAUCAGCCAUCACUGACACGCACUUGGGUUUUGAAAGCAUGGCUUACCUUCUCUGAAGCAAGUUGGAAAAUCUUGUCUGGACCCUACAGAACAUACUACAACCCACAUCUUGUUUUAUUCACCUUUUUUUCCUCCUUUCUGAUUUUAAGUAUAAUAAAGACUUAACAGUGGUCUCCAGGUGUUGAAUAAAAAUAAUGUCUAAACUA
Long non-coding RNA from Cyprinus carpio (common carp), 390 nucleotides. RefSeq lists it as uncharacterized. The record is from RefSeq and is a predicted model, not a curated record. The transcript is spliced from 3 exons. NCBI's taxonomy places the organism in Eukaryota, Metazoa, Chordata, Actinopteri, Cypriniformes, Cyprinidae.